GACGUAGGAGACAAGCGUUGUUCGGAAUUACUGGGCGUAAUGGGCGCGUAGGCGGUUCGUUAAGUCCUGUGUGAAAUCCCCCGGCUCAACUGGGGAACUGCACAGGAAACUAGCGGGCUUGAGUUCGGGAGAGGGAAGCGGAAUUCCGGGUGUAGCGGUGAAAUGCGUAGAUAUCCGGAGGAACACCGGUGGCGAAGGCGGCUUCCUGGACCGACACUGACGCUGAGGCGCGAAAGCUAGGGGAGCAAACGGG
This 253-nucleotide ribosomal RNA is filed under the name uncultured bacterium. Its description in RNAcentral is "partial 16S ribosomal RNA". It matches the Rfam family "Bacterial small subunit ribosomal RNA", at positions 524 to 776 of the family's 1533-position model. The record is from RNAcentral.